RNAcentral lists this ribosomal RNA (807 nucleotides) under uncultured bacterium. RNAcentral describes it as "bacterial SSU rRNA". It matches the Rfam family "Bacterial small subunit ribosomal RNA", at positions 8 to 794 of the family's 1533-position model. The record is from RNAcentral.
AGAGUUUGAUCCUGGCUCAGGAUGAACGCUAGCGAUAGGCCUAACACAUGCAAGUCGAGGGGCAUCACAAAGAGUAGCAAUACUUUUGGUGGCGACCGGCGGAUGGGUGAGUAACACGUAUGCAACCUACCUUCUACAUUGGGAUAACCCGUUGAAAGACGGACUAAUACCGAAUAAUACAGGGGCGCCACAUGGUGAUAUUUGUUAGAGUUUCGAGCAAUCGAUUCGGUAGAAGAUGGGCAUGCGUAUGAUUAGCUAGUUGGUGAGGUAACGGCUCACCAAGGCAACGAUCAUUAGGGGUUCUGAGAGGAAGGUCCCCCACACUGGUACUGAGACACGGACCAGACUCCUACGGGAGGCAGCAGUGAGGAAUAUUGGUCAAUGGGCGCGAGCCUGAACCAGCCAAGUCGCGUGAAGGAAGACUGUCCUAUGGAUUGUAAACUUCUUUUGUACAGGAAUAAAGUGUUCUACGUGUAGGAUUUUGCAUGUACUGUACGAAUAAGGAUCGGCUAACUCCGUGCCAGCAGCCGCGGUAAUACGGAGGAUCCGAGCGUUGUCCGGAUUUAUUGGGUUCAAAGGGUGCGUAGGUGGACUGAUAAGUCAGUGGUGAAAGUUUGCAGCUUAACUGUAAAAUUGCCGUUGAAACUGUUGGUCUUGAGUGCAAAUGGGGUAGGCGGAAUGUGUUGUGUAGCGGUGAAAUGCUUAGAUAUAACACAGAACACCGAUUGCGAAGGCAGCUUACUGGGAUGCAACUGACACUGAUGCACGAAGGCGUGGGGAUCAAACAGGAUUAGAUACCCCGGUAGU